Molecule: RNase P RNA, 342 nt
Filed under: human gut metagenome
Description: Bacterial RNase P class A
Rfam family: Bacterial RNase P class A
About the family: Ribonuclease P (RNase P) is a ubiquitous endoribonuclease, found in archaea, bacteria and eukarya as well as chloroplasts and mitochondria. Its best characterised activity is the generation of mature 5'-ends of tRNAs by cleaving the 5'-leader elements of precursor-tRNAs.
Source: RNAcentral
AGUAAGACAGAUGGUCGCUGCCAUGAAACCGAAAGGUCAUGGGAGAGGAAAGUCCGGGCUUCACAGGGCAGGAUGCCAGAUAACGUCUGGUGGAGGCGACUCUAAGGACAGUGCAACAGAAAUAAACCGCCGCAGCAAUGCGGUAAGGGUGGAAAGGCAGUGUAAGAGACUACCGCCCGACUGGUAACAGGCGGGGCAUAUGUAAACCCCAUCCGAAGCAAGACCGAACAGAAAGCAUAAGGCGGCCCGUCUGCUUUCGGGUAGGUCGCUGGAGCAUAUUGGCGACAGUAUGCCUAGAUAGAUGACCAUCCAAUGACAUAACCCGGCUUAUCGUUUUACUCA